Molecule: ribosomal RNA, 253 nt
Filed under: uncultured bacterium
Lineage: Bacteria
Description: partial 16S ribosomal RNA
Rfam family: Bacterial small subunit ribosomal RNA
Source: RNAcentral
UACGUAGGGGGCAAGCGUUGUCCGGAAUUAUUGGGCGUAAAGAGCGCGUAGGCGGUCCGGUAAGUCGGUUGUGAAAGUCGGGGGCUCAACCCUCGGAUGCCGAUCGAUACUGUCGGGCUAGAGUCCGGAAGAGGCGAGUGGAAUUCCUGGUGUAGCGGUGAAAUGCGCAGAUAUCGGGAAGAACACCCGUGGCGAAGGCGGCUCUCUGGGACGGUACUGACGCUGAGACGCGAAAGCGUGGGGAGCAAACAGG